RNAcentral lists this ribosomal RNA (427 nucleotides) under uncultured bacterium. Its description in RNAcentral is "partial 16S ribosomal RNA". It matches the Rfam family "Bacterial small subunit ribosomal RNA", at positions 355 to 774 of the family's 1533-position model. The record is from RNAcentral.
UGGGGAAUAUUGGACAAUGGGCGAAAGCCUGAUCCAGCCAUGCCGCGUGUGUGAAGAAGGUCUUCGGAUUAUAAAGCACUUUAAGUUGGGAGGAAGGGCAUUAACCUAAUACGUUAGUGUUUUGACGUUACCGACAGAAUAAGCACCGGCUAACUCUGUGCCAGCAGCCGCGGUAAUACAGAGGGUGCAAGCGUUAAUCGGAAUUACUGGGCGUAAAGCGCGCGUAGGUGGUUUGUUAAGUUGGAUGUGAAAUCCCCGGGCUCAACCUGGGAACUGCAUUCAAAACUGACUGACUAGAGUAUGGUAGAGGGUGGUGGAAUUUCCUGUGUAGCGGUGAAAUGCGUAGAUAUAGGAAGGAACACCAGUGGCGAAGGCGACCACCUGGACUAAUACUGACACUGAGGUGCGAAAGCGUGGGGAGCAAACA